UUCACUUCAGCGAGAAAAGCUAAAACUGGAAAGACACAGAGAAGAUUGGCAUAUCUCAUGUGUAUGGAUGCCAUGCAAAUCCAUGAAGUGUUCCCUCUUUCG
Molecule: small nuclear RNA, 102 nt
Organism: Jaculus jaculus (lesser Egyptian jerboa)
Lineage: Eukaryota; Metazoa; Chordata; Mammalia; Rodentia; Dipodidae
Source: Ensembl